GAGGAACUUUGUAGAAGCGAUGACGGAGCCUUCACAGGAAAAUCUUUUCAGGAGUGUAAGGACCUGGCUGCUCGACUUUCUGGAACAUUCAUGGGUGCUGCUCGGAACAAGCAUAGAGAAGAAAUCUUAAAAAUUGUCAAGGAAGGUAUUGAAUAUGCUUUCAUAGAAGCUCCAAAACAGUUGUCUUUUCUGGAAAGUGCAGUGCUUUAUUUUGUAUCCAAAUUGCCGACACCUGAUGUCCUGGAAAUGUAAGAAUUACUCUCUAGUUUUGGUAUCUUCUGACUUCUAGCAUCUUUAAUUUCUUUUUGAUUAGGGCACUGUGUACCCAACUGUGCUUUUCCUUUUAUGUGGCCACUGGCCAAACAGAUAGUAGAAUGUUAUGGAAAACUUAUUGGCACUAAUACUAUCAUUGGUUUGCAAGUAGUCUAAAAGAUGUCCAAAGCCGAAUAGAGAAUGUAAAUACUGAUGAAGAUCCCAGUGGUUGGCGCCCCUACUACACAUUUGUGGACAACUUGCGAGAAAAGUAUGCAAAGAAUGAAGGUUUCCCAGGUAAUGCUGUAAUUUGACCUUCUGUAUGACUGGAAUCUAAUGUGUGCACAUUUAUGGUUUUCCUCUGAGCCACAAUUUUACUGAGUUUGAAAUUUUUUUUUCCAGAUGAAGAUAGAUGGCUGCUAUUCUUAUUUUUAAUCAAAUGCCCAUGUUGGUCUUUCUUUCUUUGCUUAUGUAUGUGCACAUGCAUACUUUGUGUGUGUGUCCUUGACUGCUUGGAUGCACCUUGUUUCAUUUAUUUUCCCUUCCAUGUUGGCAUCACAUUUUCUAGAGAAAAAUUUCUUCUUUGAGGCUUGAAAUGUAAGAAACAAUGCCGGUUCAAGUUUUUAGCUUUAUUUUUAAGGAAGAAACUACUCUUUGGUUUUUACAUAAUGCUCUAAGCCUUUUCAUGGACAAACACUUGGUAAUAUUAAUAGAAGUCAUCAAUCACAUGGAUUGGACAUGGGGCCUAAUCUUUUUAGAAGUUUUCUAAUUUCAAUGUGUCAAUUCACUAGUUUAUUCAUGCAUCCCAUUUCCACUAGUUUUAAGUUUCUGGAUUUGGCAAUUGUGCUGUUGGCAACUUGGCAUCUUUGUGAUGAGGGGCAAACUGUUGCAAUGAUGGUGAUUUUAGCGCCAGAUGUUUCACUGGAAUCUAAUGCCAUUUUGUUAUGUCCACAUAUCUUUGUGAGGUGCCAGUACUAAUGUACACAAUUUUUCUUUCAUUGCAAGGAGGCUGUUUCCAUGUUUUGAACCCAUGAACUGUUAAUCACAAUGGAGAGGCUUUACCAUUGUGCUCACCCUUUCACUCUAUUACUACAACAAAUUAAGAUCCACUUGAUCCUGCAGUAGCUGAUGAGGGCAUUCGUCUUCAUUCAUUGCAUUGGAUACCAAAGACGGAAAGUAGUUUAGCUUGAGGCUGUUUAUGGGGUUUUUGGCAGUUAUUAAGAACCUCAGAAUGAGGCUGAAAUUUGUUAUAGAUGUUACAUCUUAUUAUGAAUUUUUGGUCAUGCUUUGGAUAAUGAAAUUGCACUUUGGCUUUAAGAAUGUAUUCCGAUGCCAAUGUUGUUGAUAUGUUGCAGAUGAGAAAGAGGGGACUGCUGUAAGACGCAGGGGUCGUCCAAGGAAGCAACAAAACAUAGAAGGAAAGAGACUCUUUGGUGAGCAUGGUUCAAGUGAAGAGGAGGAUUCAAUUAGUGGAUCUGAUCAAGAAGAUGCACGGGAAGAAGAAAAGCAAAAUGAGGAGGAAGAGGAGGCUCCUUUGAUACAUUCAUUGAAAGCAUCCAAAUUGAGGUCAUUUAAGGUUUCAAGAGAUGAAAAUAAAGGCCAGGCAAGGACAGGAGUUUCUAAAACUUCUGGAGCAUCAAACUAGUGAUUGCCAUUGUCCAAGUUGCGGUGUAUAUUAAAAGCAGAGCUCAUUAGUUGUGGAUGAGAUUUGAUUUGGAAAUCUUGAGCUCUUCUUCUCCAUAUGUUAGAGGCUAGGGUUAGAUCAUGUAUGUGUUGGAAUGUAUGUAGGAAUUUCUAUGUAUGCCUGCUGAUGAAUGCAAAUAGUUUCCUGAACUGCUUCUGGAUGGAUGCCCUCUUGACUCUGCAUCAUACUGGAAAGCUUAUCUCAGAUAAACAUUCCAGACCAAGAGUAAUAAAAAACUCUGUAAACUAUAGCUGUACUGGUAUCUGUCUGACCACACAGUAAAUCUCCACUAAUGGGUAGUUCUCUCCAAUGUUUUUGUGAACUUGGUUCAAAUUGCCAAUGUGGAAUCCAAAUUUGCAAGUGCAAUUUCUGAGUCUGGUGAGAUUAAAGUGCAGGGAAGAGUGAAAGAUAGGAAGCCCCAUCUUACCAUGAUAGGGUCAUUUGGUGUUGAUGUGAGCAUGGAAGGUAGCCUCAUACUGUGCAGGCAGGUUGAUCAACCAGGUAUGAUUGGUAAAGUCGGGAGUAUCCUUGGAGAGGAGAAUGUAAAUGUGAGCUUCAUGACUGUUGGGAGGAUCGCUCCACGAAAGCAAGCAGUUAUGACCAUUGGGGUGGAUGAGGAACCCAGCAAGGAAGCAUUGAAGAGAAUUGGAGAAAUAACAGCCAUUGAAGAAUUUGUUUUCCUGAAGUUGUAGUAGGGCAGUCAAUAUCAUCAUCCUUCAUGCCCAAUUUUGGGGACGCUUCAUGGUAGUAAUUAGUCAAGAUUUAUUAUUAUUAUUA
This 2713-nucleotide unclassified non-coding RNA is filed under the name Hevea brasiliensis (rubber tree). The record is from RNAcentral. Lineage: Eukaryota; Viridiplantae; Streptophyta; Magnoliopsida; Malpighiales; Euphorbiaceae.